Long non-coding RNA from Oryzias melastigma (Indian medaka), 647 nucleotides. RefSeq lists it as uncharacterized. Lineage: Eukaryota; Metazoa; Chordata; Actinopteri; Beloniformes; Adrianichthyidae. The transcript has 2 exons. The record is from RefSeq and is a predicted model, not a curated record.
ACGGGUUGUGUGAAGUCAAACGAACUCUUAAGUCACUUCUGAAGUAGUUUAGUUAAAAAGAAAACAUCAGAGUCCACGAAAUGUUAGAAAAACUUAGUUUUCAUACUCUCAGAUAAAUAAAUGAAGUAAAUUUUACUUAUACAGGAUUUGACAACAGAGUACCGAAGUACUUUACAGCAAAAGGGAGAUAAAAACAUGUAAGAAUAACAGCUUAAACUGACAGCAAGAAAAAUACAUAAGAGAUUAAAAAUUAUAAAAUCAAUAAGAUGCCACCAACUACAUGUGUGUUUUUAACUGACAUUUAAAACUGUUCAGGUCAGAUAUCAUCAACAGUUCUGCAGAAAUAUUAUUCCAUAAGUCAGGACUGGAAAAACCAGAGUCACCCCAGUGUUUCUGUUGGGAUCUGGACACAAGGGCGGAAGUACCAUAAGGCAAAGCAAUGGAAUAGUCCAGCAACAGCAAACCAAGAAAGACUUACCAAGAGAUAGACUCACUAAAAAAGCACGCAUUUAGUGCAAGUAACUGCCAGAAGCAAUCACUUCCUAAAGUGCAGGAAGACAUAACCAGAAAAAGAACAACAGAAUUACAACAAAAAAGUCAAAGUGGGAUGACGAUAAAGUUGUAAAACUUUGGGGAAAAAAAAAAAA